Molecule: ribosomal RNA, 492 nt
Filed under: Campylobacter fetus subsp. testudinum
Lineage: Bacteria; Pseudomonadati; Campylobacterota; Epsilonproteobacteria; Campylobacterales; Campylobacteraceae
Description: bacterial LSU rRNA
Rfam family: Bacterial large subunit ribosomal RNA
Source: RNAcentral
AUGAAAGUGCGUUUAUACUUAGCAGUAUCGAGUAGGCGGGACACGUGAAAUCCUGUCGAAGCUGGGGAGACCACUCUCCAACCCUAAAUACUACUACUAGACCGAUAGUGCACAAGUACCGGGAGGGAAAGGUGAAAAGAACUGAGGUGAUCAGAGUGAAAUAGAACCUGAAACCAUUUGCUUACAAUCAUUCAGAGCACGAUUCUUUAUGACGUGUGAUGGACUGCCUUUUGCAUAAUGAGCCUGCGAGUUGUGGUGUCUGGCGAGGUUAAGGAAACCCGGAGCCGUAGCGAAAGCGAGUCUUAAUAGGGCGUAUAGUCAGAUGCUGCAGACCCGAAACGAUGUGAUCUAUCCAUGAGCAGGUUGAAACUGGUGUAAGAGCCAGCGGAGGACCGAACAGACGGCCGUUGAAAAGGCUCCUGAUGACUUGUGGAUAGGGGUGAAAGGCCAAUCAAACAUCGUGAUAGCUGGUUCUCUCCGAAAUAUAUUUAG